GGCAAAGUUGGUGUUCAGUUUAACUCUGGGUGACAUUAAAUAUUACCUGAAAAUUUUUAGCAGCAUCAGAAACUGUUACAGUUGCAAUAACCUGGAAACAGAGGUGACACCAAACAGAGAUGGAGGCUCAAGUCACAAUUUGUAUAACUUCAAACUUUCAUGACUCACACUGAUGAAAGACAAAUACACAUAAGCAGUGGAUCACUUCAUUUUCCAUCCACUAUGGUGUCGUCCGUUCACUUUAACGCCAGUGUGGAGAAACAACCACGAGCCUGUUCAGCACAUAAACAUUUAAGCUGCAGCUCUGCAUUUUCCACCACUCAGAUAAGAUUGUGAUAAUAUAGUUUUCCUGUUUGCAUAUCUAAACUAAAUAUUAGCAGAUAACUCAUGUAAUCAGUAAAGUGCUCGAACAUAGUUUUUAUUUGGAGUUGUCACAAUGCAUUGAAAUAAGAUUGGACCAUAUAAUGCCCAUUGCACAAUUUAGUAAAAAGUGUCAUUUACAUAAGAAAAGAAAAAACAUCACAGAGCGUUUUGUGGUUCAGAGCUCACUUUACAUACAGAUGAUUAGCAUCAGAUAACAGUGACACAUUUCAUCAUGAUUUCCUCUUAGUUACUCAGAGGGCUCUUUGCGAAACUGUUGCUAAAACAAAAUGUCUUAACAUCCUGAGCAAACAGCGAGAAAUGUUAAAGUGGGCAGUCUGCUAAUGAGCAUUGUCGUCUGAGUUCUGGAAGAGGAAGAAGCAGAAGAAAAACUAGUAAAAAUGUCAGAUGUGGACCCGCCGUCGUAUGUGGCUCUGAGGCCUCAAAGUGCAGUCCUGAUUUCAACGAUCGUUGUGGUAAACAUUAUUUACUGGAUGCUUAUGAUUGCAGCCAUUGCUUUGGGGGCCACUCAUCUGGACCCAGUCCAGUGCCGUGCACAUAAUGGGAUCCCCAUCUAUCUGAUUUUACUGGGAGUCUCCAGCAUCAUCACUCUGACUUUGGGUUAUACCAAGAGUGCCUGGAAAAGUGACCUCACCUUCCUCAAUAACAUGUGUGUCUCUGCCUUCCUGACCAUUGUGACUUUCGCCAUUUUAAUCACAGGAUCUCGCUUUGUUUACAGUGUCUAUCCUCCCAACUACGACUCACCUGAGUCACCUGUCUACUGUGACAGGAUUACCUACCAGUUCGCCUUUGUCGUCACCACCCUGCUGUGGGUUGCUGCUAGUAUGUCGCUCCUCUGCGGCUGUUGCUUUGUUGUAAUCACCUGCUGUGGAGCCGUGGGGGCGAGAAGCAACCUGCUGCCGACACGCAGUAGUUUCUACGGUGCAACAAGUAAUUAUCAGGAGCAUGUAGCCGGUGAUGUGUGAUUUCAUCCUUAUUUGACUUUGACAGAUGUGAACAUUAACCCAACAUUUGACCUAAAUGAUACAGAUUCUGACUGACAGGAUUAAUUUUUCCUGUUUUGGUUAUUUACGCUAAAAUUAACACUGUUUCCUGACUUACUUCAUUUCUGACUUAAGCAACAUUUUUGUAACAUGUUCUUGUAAGGUAGUCAGCUACGUACUGUGUGUGUGUAUUAGGAUGGCUAAAAUGCAGAGAAUAACCAUAUAAGACAAUUUAGAGGCAGCUAUCACUGAAUCAGUACUGUUAUAGAGAAUAAAUUGGUCAUAUUGUUUGUAUGUAUGGCAGAAAAAUGUUUUUCUGCAGUGCAAAACUUGUAGAUAGAAACCUGUUGUAGAGUGUUGUUUGAGAUAUAUGUUCUUUUGCAAACAGCUUAUCAUAAUAAUAAACAUGAUGCAUGU
RNAcentral lists this long non-coding RNA (1781 nucleotides) under Sphaeramia orbicularis (orbiculate cardinalfish). RNAcentral's name for it is "lncRNA (ENSSORG00005006653.1)". The record is from RNAcentral. Lineage: Eukaryota; Metazoa; Chordata; Actinopteri; Kurtiformes; Apogonidae.